GAAUGCUGACAUAAGUAACGAUAAAGCGGGUGAAAAGCCCGCUCGCCGGAAGACCAAGGGUUCCUGUCCAACGUUAAUCGGGGCAGGGUGAGUCGACCCCUAAGGCGAGGCCGAAAGGCGUAGUCGAUGGGAAACGGGUUAAUAUUCCCGUACUUGGUGUUACUGCGAAGGGGGGACGGAGAAGGCUAUGUUGGCCGGGCGACGGUUGUCCCGGUUUAAGCGUGUAGGUGUGUGUUCCAGGUAAAUCCGGUUCACUUUAACACUGAGGCGUGACGACGAGGCACUACGGUGCUGAAGCAACAAAUGCCCUGCUUCCAGGAAAAGCCUCUAAGCAUCAGGUAACAUCAAAUCGUACCCCAAACCGACACAGGUGGUCAGGUAGAGAAUACCAAGGCGCUUGAGAGAACUCGGGUGAAGGAACUAGGCAAAAUGGUGCCGUAACUUCGGGAGAAGGCACGCUGACACGUAGGUGAAGUGAUUUACUCAUGGAGCUGAAGUCAGUCGAAGAUACCAGCUGGCUGCAACUGUUUAUUAAAAACACAGCACUGUGCAAACACGAAAGUGGACGUAUACGGUGUGACGCCUGCCCGGUGCCGGAAGGUUAAUUGAUGGGGUCAGCGCAAGCGAAGCUCCUGAUCGAAGCCCCGGUAAACGGCGGCCGUAACUAUAACGGUCCUAAGGUAGCGAAAUUCCUUGUCGGGUAAGUUCCGACCUGCACGAAUGGCGUAAUGAUGGCCAGGCUGUCUCCACCCGAGACUCAGUGAAAUUGAACUCGCUGUGAAGAUGCAGUGUACCCGCGGCAAGACGGAAAGACCCCGUGAACCUUUACUAUAGCUUGACACUGAACAUUGAGCCUUGAUGUGUAGGAUAGGUGGGAGGCUUUGAAGUGUGGACGCCAGUCUGCAUGGAGCCGACCUUGAAAUACCACCCUUUAAUGUUUGAUGUUCUAACGUGGACCCGUAAUCCGGGUUGCGGACAGUGUCUGGUGGGUAGUUUGACUGGGGCGGUCUCCUCCUAAAGAGUAACGGAGGAGCACGAAGGUUGGCUAAUCCUGGUCGGACAUCAGGAGGUUAGUGCAAUGGCAUAAGCCAGCUUGACUGCGAGCGUGACGGCGCGAGCAGGUGCGAAAGCAGGUCAUAGUGAUCCGGUGGUUCUGAAUGGAAGGGCCAUCGCUCAACGGAUAAAAGGUACUCCGGGGAUAACAGGCUGAUACCGCCCAAGAGUUCAUAUCGACGGCGGUGUUUGGCACCUCGAUGUCGGCUCAUCACAUCCUGGGGCUGAAGUAGGUCCCAAGGGUAUGGCUGUUCGCCAUUUAAAGUGGUACGCGAGCUGGGUUUAGAACGUCGUGAGACAGUUCGGUCCCUAUCUGCCGUGGGCGCUGGAGAACUGAGGGGGGCUGCUCCUAGUACGAGAGGACCGGAGUGGACGCAUCACUGGUGUUCGGGUUGUCAUGCCAAUGGCACUGCCCGGUAGCUAAAUGCGGAAGAGAUAAGUGCUGAAAGCAUCUAAGCACGAAACUUGCCCCGA
This 1527-nucleotide ribosomal RNA is filed under the name Salmonella enterica subsp. enterica serovar Senftenberg. RNAcentral describes it as "partial 23S ribosomal RNA". It matches the Rfam family "Bacterial large subunit ribosomal RNA", at positions 1292 to 2802 of the family's 2925-position model. The record is from RNAcentral. RNAcentral also lists the same sequence under 12 other names. Lineage: Bacteria; Pseudomonadati; Pseudomonadota; Gammaproteobacteria; Enterobacterales; Enterobacteriaceae.